RNAcentral lists this long non-coding RNA (512 nucleotides) under Helianthus annuus (common sunflower). RNAcentral describes it as "hypothetical non coding rna". The record is from RNAcentral. Lineage: Eukaryota; Viridiplantae; Streptophyta; Magnoliopsida; Asterales; Asteraceae.
UUUCAUUCAAAAACACAAGUCUUGUGUGAGCUUCUUAAUGUUUUCCUUGGGAGCUCCCCUUCUAGUCUUUUUAAAGAGUCCUCUAAAGCAAGUUCGCGUGGAUCCACCUGACUGACCGGUUCCCCACGGCCAUGGGUCGAACUCGGUAUUGCCAUCAUUGUUUCGUAGAUUCGCCUUUCGGGGCUUGAAUCUCUCUAUGUGUCAUUUGUUACUAUUAUUACUAUGUUGUGUUGCUUAUGAUAUUUGUGAUGUAUCUUGUUGUAAUGUAUGUCAUAGUUUCACAUUUCUAAACACAUGUUAUAAAUACCGUUAUUCAAAAAAAUAAUAUUUCAAAAACGUUUUUAAAUAAAAACCGAAUCUAUUCACCAACAUGUUUGUUGACCCAAAACUCUUUUACGCGUGAUACAGGUACACAAGGGUGGGCGGAUUUUGAGUUGAAGACACGUAGGACUGCCUUAGUAAUAAACCGGAUAUGUUAUGUUUCUUUUAUUUAUUUGAAUAAGAAUCUUGUU